GCUUCAUGAAUACAAUAUAAAGUAUCUUCCUGCCCAGUGAUAUUUAAACGGCCGCGGUAUCCUAACCGUGCAAAGGUAGCAUAAUAACUUGUCCAUUAAUUGUGGACUAGAAUGAACGGAAUAACAAAAUAAGUACUGUUUCAGUAUUACCAAUAAAAACUAAUAUUUAAGUGAAGAAGCUUAAAUAAAAUAAAAGGACAAGAAGACCCUAUAGAGCUUUAUUAAACGCUAUCAAUGAAACGCUAUAAUUCGGUUGGGGCGACCUAGGAAAAAUCAUCCUUUAAACAAAAGAUUAACAAAUCAACAUAAUGACCCUUAUUAAAGAUUAAAGAACCAAGCUACCUUAGGGAUAACAGGCUAAUCCUAUUAAAGAGCCCGUAUCGACAAUAGGGAUUGGCACCUCGAUGUUGGCUUAGAAAAUCUAUAUGGCGCAGAAGUCAUAUAAAGAAGGUUUGUUCAACCUAUAAUAUUC
RNAcentral lists this ribosomal RNA (472 nucleotides) under Chamaedrilus cognettii. RNAcentral's name for it is "partial 16S ribosomal RNA". It matches the Rfam family "Bacterial large subunit ribosomal RNA", at positions 1820 to 2596 of the family's 2925-position model. Lineage: Eukaryota; Metazoa; Annelida; Clitellata; Enchytraeida; Enchytraeidae. The record is from RNAcentral.